Molecule: long non-coding RNA, 312 nt
Filed under: Salmo salar (Atlantic salmon)
Lineage: Eukaryota; Metazoa; Chordata; Actinopteri; Salmoniformes; Salmonidae
Description: lncRNA (ENSSSAG00000096839.1)
Source: RNAcentral
CAGGGGGUACCGUACAGAGUCAAUGUGGAGGCUAUAUACAGGGGGUAACGGUACAGAGUCAAUGUGGAGGCUAUAUACAGGGGGUACCGGUACAGAGUCAAUGUGGAGGCUAUAUACAGGGGUUACCGGUACAGAGUCAAUGUGGAGGCUAUACAGGGGGUACCGGUACAGAGUCAAUGUGGAGGUAUAUACAGGGGGUACCGGUACAGAGUCAAUGUGGAGGCUAUAUACAGGGGGUAACGGUACAGAGUCAAUGUGGAGGCUAUAUACAGGGGGUACCGGUACAGAGUCAAUGUGGAGGCUAUAUACAGG